CACGUAGGGCGCAAGCGUUGUCCGGAAUUAUUGGGCGUAAAGAGCUCGUAGGUGGUUUGUUACGUCUGCUGUGAAAACCUAGGGCUUAACCCUGGGCUUGCAGUGGAUACGGGCGGGCUGGAGUUCGGUAGGGGAGACUGGAAUUCCUGGUGUAGCGGUGAAAUGCGCAGAUAUCAGGAGGAACACCGGUGGCGAAGGCGGGUCUCUGGGCCGAUACUGACGCUGAGGAGCGAAAGCGUGGGGAGCGAACAGG
This 253-nucleotide ribosomal RNA is filed under the name uncultured bacterium. RNAcentral describes it as "partial 16S ribosomal RNA". It matches the Rfam family "Bacterial small subunit ribosomal RNA", at positions 524 to 776 of the family's 1533-position model. The record is from RNAcentral.